Long non-coding RNA from Ornithorhynchus anatinus (platypus), 471 nucleotides. RefSeq lists it as uncharacterized. NCBI's taxonomy places the organism in Eukaryota, Metazoa, Chordata, Mammalia, Monotremata, Ornithorhynchidae. The transcript is spliced from 3 exons. The record is from RefSeq and is a predicted model, not a curated record.
GGAGAGCUGGGGCAGCGGGGGAGAAGCGUCUCCCUCUCUGUGCGGCCCAGAGACCUCGGGGCGGAGGGCAGGAGAGGGCCCAGCCGCCUCCGAGCACCUGAGCGUCCACCCGGAGGAGCGGAUUCUAAAAACCGCGCACUGAGCUGAGACUGCCGGGCACCGGGAGAGCUGAGACGCUGCCCAGGGGAGCCUUGCCAUCAGCCUGCUAAGCCAUGAGAGAACUGCCAAUGCAGCAGAAGCUCCAGGAAAGCUUAGCACCCAGGUAAGUAAUACAUUCUCCUUCCUACUCCUCCUCUCCCUCCUCCAUCUCCUUUUCCUCUUCUUCUUCCCCCUCCUGGCAAAACAGACAACUCCCUCUAACUUCCAAUCUGCCCUCAACCCUCCCCAGAUGGGUAGGGCGAGGGAGGGGGCAGCCUCAAAAGUGGGAACUUUGGAGAUGUCCUGCUCUCUGAAUCCCUAAUUCCCAGCUCU